This 253-nucleotide ribosomal RNA is filed under the name uncultured bacterium. RNAcentral describes it as "partial 16S ribosomal RNA". It matches the Rfam family "Bacterial small subunit ribosomal RNA", at positions 524 to 776 of the family's 1533-position model. The record is from RNAcentral.
UACGUAGGGUGCAAGCGUUAAUCGGAAUUACUGGGCGUAAAGCGUGCGCAGGCGGUUGUGCAAGACAGAGGUGAAAUCCCCGGGCUUAACCUGGGAACUGCAUUUGUGACUGCACGGCUAGAGUGUGUCAGAGGGGGGUAGAAUUCCACGUGUAGCAGUGAAAUGCGUAGAUAUGUGGAGGAAUACCGAUGGCGAAGGCAGCCCCCUGGGAUAACACUGACGCUCAUGCACGAAAGCGUGGGGAGCAAACAGG